Molecule: long non-coding RNA, 4265 nt
Organism: Triticum aestivum (bread wheat)
Lineage: Eukaryota; Viridiplantae; Streptophyta; Magnoliopsida; Poales; Poaceae
Exons: 7
Source: RefSeq, a predicted model, not a curated record
UGGAGCGAGGAGCCCAUUGGGCACGACCGCACCAACCCUAGCUCCCGAUCCACAGCCACGCACUCCUCCCUCCUCCCUCUCACAGCCACCACACCCCGUUCCUCUCUUCCUCCUCCCUCCUCCUUCCCGGAUCCCUGCCACCGCCACACCCACUCGUCUCCUCCUCUCUCUUCUAGCUAACUCCUCCUUCCUGAUCUCUGCGUUAGCCGCAGCGCGAGAGGAACAGCAGCAGCGGAGAUGCUCCGAUGGCGGAGUCGAGUUGUGAAGCGGCGGCGCCCGAGCGCGAGUCGACAAAAGCUGGAGCGGCUACUCUGGGCCCCGAUCUGGGGGGUUCGGUUCCAGGGCGCCGACGGCUUCUUUGUCUAUGACGCGGGGCCGAGCCGCCGGGGGAAGCCUUGGAUUCAUGCAGGGGGGCUCCCUGGGGGGUGCAGAGGAGGGGUUGGACGAGCGGGUGAGGAUGCGUGAGGCCAGAAGGAGUUUGGGGUCGCCAGAGGAGCAUAGCCCGCACGGGGGCUGGUCAUCGCCAGAGCAGAGGGGAGGAGGUCGAUGCAGGGGACGCCAUGGAUGGUCGGGGCGCUGGCUCCUCCUUUCGCCAUGCCACAGCUGCCUAGAUCCGGCGAUCCCCUCCCACUCUGGCAUCCAUGUUGGUUGACUCGAUCUCUCAAUCACCCCAUCGCCGCGCUGCACACCGUCGUCAAGGACCAAGCCGCCGCCGCCACGGUGUCCUCCUCCCCGGUGGCCGCGGGUGCCCUGCCCGCCAAGCUUCCCAUUCUUAUCUUUCUGGAGGAAAUCUGGUAGUGCUCGAGUGCACGGUGAUGCUGUCACAGUAUCCCCCUCCCCGGUGCUCUUAGAUCCAGCAGUAGCUCAACGCAGGAAAGCUGGUUGUGCUCGAUCUGCUCGCCUCCUUCACCUCGCAGGCUCAGCAAGCGGCAACAAGCUGAAGCCUGCUCUCAUUAUGCCUACCACCUCUCUAUGAGAUCAGUAGGUUUGAUCGCCUCGUCUGCAAUUUGGCUGAUUCCAGAUAGUAUUCUUGUUCUGUAUGGGAGAUACGAGUUUGGAUGUAGCUCACUGACCAGGAGAACCUGCGAUGCCAGCAGACCAAUCUAGAUCUGCACGUGUUGAAUAUGCAAACAGUUAUGUAGUAUGUGCAGUUUACUUGCUCUGUUUUUACGGGGAUUUUGGAAUUUCCAUACAUGCAUGACGCAGAUCCGUUCUGUGAUUUCCAUUGUCUAUUUACUGGUGACCCAUGUGUGUCUUAUUUCCAUCUUUCUUUGUCUUGAUAUAGCUAAAGGUCAACUGCUAGCCCAUCCGUGCAAUUCACUAAUUUAAUUAUGCCUGCUUGCUCGAAGUCUAUUUUAUAGAUGGCCAGCAUAUUAUCGUGGGAGGUGUUUAACUAUUUUCUCUGGAAUAAACUGAAAGCUGAUUAUUUUGAAAAUGCAUCAUAUCGCACUGAUUUAUAAUAAGAUUGUUACGCAUCAUGAGUUUUUGGCAUAUACUUUUGAGUUAUAUAUUGCCAUUCCAAGUUGCCAACUAACUGAUACAUGGUUAUGGUUGAGGAACAAUGUUGAGCAGUGCAAGGUUACACCAUCACAGUUCAAACACAUCUUUUUUGGCUGAUAGUUUUUGAGAUAGCUUAUUGCUUAUGCCCAAUGGGAGUUUAAUUGGGAAUCUUUAAUAUUCUAAGAAUCACACCGGCGCAACACGCUUAGGUUGUUUCCAGAUCUCAUGUUUGUCUAAGUCACCAAGUUAACCCACAAGAAUUUGUUUACUUUCUUGGCUAUUGUGGUUAAAGGCAUCCUUUUAUUAGAGCUAUAUAUAGUUUUUGGACAUGUUCCAGUUUGGUUAUUUUUUUAUGGAUUUUGAAUAUGUUUCAAUUUGAUCACUUUUGAGACUCAGUUAGAACAGAUAAUUUUUGUUUCUUUACCAUAUAGUUCCUAAUCAGAAAAGCCUCAUCUGCAAGUUGGAGGCAUUGGCGUGAAGGUGUCGUGAGUUAUCUGCAAGGGCAUUGUUGUGACGUGCUCCUCCAUGUCUCCCGCGAGUUCUUGGUGUGGCGACCAUGGCUCCAGAGAGCAGCGCUUCAAGGUGUGGCUGCAGGUAAAGUUGUCAAGAUGAUCUGGUGCUUGCUCGAGCCGUUGAUUACUGCUGCUUUGCAGGUUCAAGGUCUUACUACAUGAGAAAUUUAUUCCAAUGCUUGCUCAACCCCUUUACCAUGAUGACUACCAGUGGAACCUUCGAUGUGUAUAGAAGGUGAUGCAUAUGGGGACAGACAAGAACUAGCGAACUUAAUAUCAGAACUAUGAAUUCUUUAAUUAUUGGAGGUUUUCAUAUUCAUAUCAACACAAGGCGAGAUAUGAUGCAGUUGCAGAGAGUAUGGGCACAAAAGUUUUGAAGAAAUUUGUGAAUGUUGUCAUUAAGAUCUUUGAAGAGAGAUAUCUCCUUGUACCAAAUGAAGCAGAUGCUACAAGGCUUCUGUAGAUGGGUGCAUCAAAUGGCUUCCCUAGUAUUUGUGGAAGCAUAAAAUGUAUGCAUUGGAGCGACAUCAUGGGUGCCGGUGGCAGAAUGACGGAGGAGCGGGAGAAGCAGGAGCUACUCGGCCACGCUAGCGCCAGUGAGAUCUUCUAGCGUGCGCCGAUGGACAAGCCGGCAUUCACGCUGGCCCAGAUCAAGGAGGCAAUCCCGCCUUACUGCUUCCAGUGCUCGUUGAUCAAGUCCUUCUCCUAUGUGGUCUAUGACCUCGUCAUCAGUGCAUCCCUCUUGUACACCGUGUUGGUCUGGAUCCCAACACUCCCGAGCAUGCAACAGCUGGGCACAUGUCCGCUCUACUGGGUGCCUCAUUUUGAUUUUCUUACCUUGAGGGCUGCGACGAGGCAGACAGGUGGUGGGCAGCAACAAUAGGGGUUGGCGGAUGCUCCGAGACCAAUAGCCUACUUAGUGAUGGGAAGGAGGAUCCGACAAGUUAGCCCCCACAGUUGUGUUGUUGGAGAACUUCUGCGAGCUCAGUAAAAUAAUGAAUCUUCAUCUCCGAUGUUUUCUCUCAAAAAUGGAGCGCGGAUCGCAGGAGCAAGGAGCUGGUCGAGUGUAGUGAACAAGAAAUCAACGCGGCACAUGUGGAAGUUGUGAGAGCUGUGAAUGGCACCGGUCUUGUCAUACUAAUGAGCAGGAGCACCGGCCACAUUACUCGUCAUGCCACUCGGUAAUGCCCCGGACACACCCGCUGGUGGUCGUUACUCCUGGCGGGAUCUAGACUGGCCUAACAGAUCAAUACUAGUCUUUUCUGCGCACUUUCUCCUCACUCAUGCGCACCCGGGAGCAACUUCCCGGUCGGUCACCCAUCCUGAAAUUACUCCAAGCUAAGCAUGCUUAACUUUGGAGUUCUUUCCGAAUGGGCUCCCAAAAAAGAAGUAAUUCCUUAUUGAUAUGAGUACUCUAUCAUCCCUAAUAAGCCAUGCUAUCACAUACACCCCCACUUAGAGGAACCGAUGUCCUCGUCGGGCCACAUGAACGUUCCCUCUUGGCACAUACGUCUGUGCAUCCAGUCCGGCACAUGUGCCAUGCCGUGUGCCACGACGGGUCACAAACGUCAUGAACAACAUGAUUGCGCACCUGUUCGCAAACAUCCAUGUAACCGCGAGGGUCGGCUCUGAUACCAACUUGUAACGCCCCGGACACACCCGCUGGUGGUCGUUACUCCUGGCGGGAUCUAGACUGGCCUCAUAGAUCAAUACUAGUCUUUUCUGCACACUUUGUCCUCACUCGUGCGCACCUGGGAGCAACUUCCCGGUCGGUCACUCAUCCUGAAAUUACUCCAAGCUAAGCACGCUUAACUUUGGAGUUCUUUCCGAAUGGGCUCCUGGAAAAGAAGGAAUUCCUUAUUGAUAUGAGUAGUCUAUCAUCCCUAAUAAGCCAGGCUAUCACACACUCUGAGCAGUUGGCUGCUGCUUGAGAUUGAUUUCCAUGUUCAAGGGAAGGGAGACCUGAUUGAGUUCCUGUAUAUGCAAGAAGAAGGGGCAUUAUCGUGGUUGUUGUUGAAGGUGUUGGUCAGGAGCUGAUUACCGGGACUGAUGACAAGAACGAAGAGCAGGAUGAGUAUGUCAACAUGUUGUUCCUUAACGUUGGCCUUCUUCUAUAAAUUUCACAUGCAACUCUCCUCCAUGGUUAGAAAAAGCUAAUUUAAACGUUUUGUUUCUUUGAUGGUUACUCAUUUCUCUUACCGUUGUUGUAUCAAAACAAUUGUAUUUUCGCUGAUGGCCGCUUGGGCUCAUUUU